UUUCCGGUUGAUCCCGCCGGACCUGACUGCUAUCGGAUUGAUACUAAGCCAUGCGAGUCAUUGUAGUAAUACAAGGCAGACGGCUCAGUAACGCGUAGUCAACCUACCCUAUGGACGAGGAUAAUCUCGGGAAACUGAGGAUAAUACUCGAUAGACCAUUAUGCCUGGAACGGUUUAUGGUUAAAAUGAUUCGUCGCCAUAGGAUGGGACUGCGGCCUAUCAGCUUGUUGGUGAGGUAAUGGCCCACCAAGGCGGUUACAGGUACGGGCUCUGAGAGGAGAAGCCCGGAGAUGGGUACUGAGACAAGGACCCAGGCCCUAUGGGGCGCAGCAGGCGAGAAAACUUUGCAAUGUGCGAAAGCACGACAAGGUUAGUCCGAGUGAUUUCUGCUAAAGAAAUCUUUUGCAAGUUAUAAAACCACUAGUGAAUAAGGGGUGGGCAAGUUCUGGUGUCAGCCGCCGCGGUAAAACCAGCACCUCAAGUGGUCAGGAUGAUUAUUGGGCCUAAAGCAUCCGUAGCCUGCUCUGUUAGUUUUCGGUUAAAUCCAUGUGCUCAACACAUGGGCUGCCGAAAAUACUGCAGGGCUAGGGAGUGGGAGAGGUAGACGGUACUCAGUAGGAAGGGGUAAAAUCCUUUGAUCUAUUGAUGACCACCUGUGGCGAAGGCGGUCUACCAGAACACGUUCGACGGUGAGGGAUGAAAGCUGGGGGAGCAAACCGGAUUAGAUACCCGGGUAGUCCCAGCUGUAAACGAUGCAGACUCGAUGAUGCAUUGGCUUAUUGCCAAUGCAGUGUCGCAGGGAAGCCGUUAAGUCUGCCGCCUGGGAAGUACGUACGCAAGUAUGAAACUUAAAGGAAUUGGCGGGGGAGCACCACAAGGGGUGAAGCUUGCGGUUCAAUUGGAGUCAACGCCGGA
Molecule: ribosomal RNA, 915 nt
Filed under: uncultured archaeon
Lineage: Archaea
Description: SSU rRNA
Rfam family: Archaeal small subunit ribosomal RNA
Source: RNAcentral